AAGUCGUAACAAGGUUUCCGUAGGUGAACCUGCGGAAGGAUCAUUACCGAGAGUGUCCCUUCGGGGGCGACCUCCCACCCGUGAUUAACAUACCUCUGUUGCUUUGGCGAGCGGUAGGCCCCGGCCCGCCGUAUGCUCGCCAGAGGACCCCAACACUCUUUGUUUUUGGAUGCAGUCUGAGUAACAUUAUAAUUCUUAAAACUUUCAACAACGGAUCUCUUGGUUCCG
Molecule: unclassified non-coding RNA, 228 nt
Filed under: air metagenome
Description: partial contains small subunit ribosomal RNA, internal transcribed spacer 1, and 5.8S ribosomal RNA
Rfam family: Eukaryotic small subunit ribosomal RNA (bases 1-46)
Source: RNAcentral